ACUCCUACGGGAGGCAGCAGUGGGGAAUAUUGCACAAUGGGCGCAAGCCUGAUGCAGCCAUGCCGCGUGUAUGAAGAAGGCCUUCGGGUUGUAAAGUACUUUCAGCAGUGAGGAAGGUGGAUGCGUUAAUAGCGUAUUCAUUUGUACGUUAGCUGCAGAAGAAGCACCGGCUAACUCCGUGCCAGCAGCCGCGGUAAUACGGAGGGUGCGAGCGUUAAUCGGAAUUACUGGGCGUAAAGCGCAUGCAGGUGGUUUGUUAAGUCAGAUGUGAAAGCCCGGGGCUCAACCUCGGAAUUGCAUUUGAAACUGGCAGACUAGAGUACUGUAGAGGGGGGUAGAAUUUCAGGUGUAGCGGUGAAAUGCGUAGAGAUCUGAAGGAAUACCAGUGGCGAAGGCGGCCCCUGGACAAAGACUGACGCUCAGAUGCGAAAGCGUGGGGAGCAAACAGGAUUAGAUACCCUGGUAGGAUAGCG
RNAcentral lists this ribosomal RNA (473 nucleotides) under uncultured bacterium. RNAcentral's name for it is "bacterial SSU rRNA". It matches the Rfam family "Bacterial small subunit ribosomal RNA", at positions 335 to 799 of the family's 1533-position model. The record is from RNAcentral.